This 460-nucleotide ribosomal RNA is filed under the name uncultured bacterium. RNAcentral describes it as "partial 16S ribosomal RNA". It matches the Rfam family "Bacterial small subunit ribosomal RNA", at positions 338 to 795 of the family's 1533-position model. The record is from RNAcentral.
CCUACGGGAGGCAGCAGUGAGGAAUAUUGGUCAAUGGACGAGAGUCUGAACCAGCCAAGUAGCGUGAAGGAUGACUGCCCUAUGGGUUGUAAACUUCUUUUAUAUGGGAAUAAAACGUUCCACGUGUGGGAUUUUGUAUGUACCAUAUGAAUAAGGAUCGGCUAACUCCGUGCCAGCAGCCGCGGUAAUACGGAGGAUCCUAGCGUUAUCCGGAUUUAUUGGGUUUAAAGGGAGCGUAGGUGGAUUGUUAAGUCAGUUGUGAAAGUUUGCGGCUCAACCGUAAAAUUACAGUUGAAACUGGCAGUCUUGAGUACAGUAGAGGUGGGCGGAAUUCGUGGUGUAGCGGUGAAAUGCUUAGAUAUCACGAAGAACUCCGAUUGCGAAGGCAGUUCACUGGACUGCAACUGACACUGAGGCUCGAAAGUGUGGGUAUCAAACAGGAUUAGAUACCCUAGUAGUC